UCCUGGUGCUGGGAGUCCGAAUCCUCAGCCUAGUGGUGCCAGAGUUUCCUGUGGCCACUGUGGAAACACUUUUCUGUGGACAGAAUUUACAGAUCGGACAUUGGCUCGCUGUCCACACUGCAGAAAAGUUUCAUCGAUUGGCCAGAGGUACCCUAGAAAGCGGAGUUUGAUAUGUUUCCUGCUGUGCUUGAUCUGCAUUAUAACGACUGCAGGAUUGAUU
Sinocyclocheilus anshuiensis is the source of this 220-nucleotide long non-coding RNA. RefSeq lists it as uncharacterized. The record is from RefSeq and is a predicted model, not a curated record. The transcript is spliced from 3 exons. Lineage: Eukaryota; Metazoa; Chordata; Actinopteri; Cypriniformes; Cyprinidae.